Molecule: long non-coding RNA, 607 nt
Organism: Cornus florida
Lineage: Eukaryota; Viridiplantae; Streptophyta; Magnoliopsida; Cornales; Cornaceae
Exons: 2
Source: RefSeq, a predicted model, not a curated record
UGUUGUAGGCUUCAUUUUAGGCCCAAAACAUGUUUGGUAGUUGUUGUUUUGGGCCAAAAAGUGAAACACCAAAAUGGUGUUUUUCUUGUUUCAAUUCUGUUAGCCCAAUAGAAGCACUGUAGCAAGGAAACAAGUUAUGCCAACACUGUAGCGGAGGAAACAAGUUUAAAAUCCACUUGCAACAAUCGACCCGAUAUUUUUUCUCUCCUCUGAAACCGUAGACAUCUGGCGAUUUGGGAGGCGACUCAAACAAACCUCGCGAUAUUGAAGAGUGAAAGUCCUUUGAAGCCCUAAAACACUUGUAAUAGUAUGAUUACAAGUGUUUUUCGAUUCUAGAGACGAUUUGUUUUCUCUCUUGCAGUUGUGUGAGGCAAUUUCUCUCUCUGUAUUCAGCAGCAGCCGCCCUGUGAUAUAAGGUGUGUUGAUGCUUUCUUGAAGGUGAUGUGUGUUGUUAUGAAGAUGAUACGUCGUUGCCGUUGUCAUCUACUUUAUGAUCAUAUUAUUAAUUUUUAGUGACAACUAUGUAUUGUUAAUGCUUUGUUCCAAACAUUUUAUGUAGAACAUAAACUUGUUUAAUUUGUUAGUUGAAUAUUUAAGCACUUGUAAA